GAUGAAGAACGUAGCGAAAUGCGAUAAGUAAUGCGAAUUGCAGAAUUUCCGUGAGUCAUCGAAACUUUGAACGCACAUUGCGCCCACUGGUAUUCCGGUGGGCAUGCCUGUUCGAGCGUCAUUAUCCUCCCUCAAGCCCCGGGUUUGGUGUUGGACCCAAGUUGUGUGAACAACUGGUCUUAAAGACAAUGACGGCGUCCGUGGGACCCUCGGUGCAACGAGCUUUUAGGAGCACGCAUCGAGUUGCAAGGACCUUCCGGGCCGGUCUCCUUUACUAUUUUACAAGGUUGACCUCGGAUCAGGUAGGAAUACCCGCUGAACUUAAGCAUAUCAAUAAGCGGAGGA
Molecule: unclassified non-coding RNA, 345 nt
Filed under: soil metagenome
Description: partial contains 5.8S ribosomal RNA, internal transcribed spacer 2, and large subunit ribosomal RNA
Rfam family: 5.8S ribosomal RNA (bases 1-121)
Source: RNAcentral